UUUAAGUGCAACCAUAAGUUUCCAUGCUCAACUUUGAUCGUCCGUCUUAUUUUAAAAAUUUUUUAUAAUUAGUAUUUGUAUUGUUAUGAGAUGAUAAAACAUAAAUAGCACUUUAUGCGUGAUUUAUGUUUUUAAAUUUUUUUAAAUAAAACAAAUAAUCAAAAUUGGAUAUGGAAAAUCAUGGCUGCACUUGAA
Oryza meridionalis is the source of this 195-nucleotide non-coding RNA. The record is from Rfam. NCBI's taxonomy places the organism in Eukaryota, Viridiplantae, Streptophyta, Magnoliopsida, Poales, Poaceae.